GCCUCUGGCUAUAGGAAAUUGUUAGUGGCAGACGGGUGAGUAAUGCGUAGGAAUCUACCUAGUAGUACGGAAUAGCCAUUAGAAAUGGUGGGUAAUAAUGUAUAAUCCCCGAGGGGGAAAGAUUUAUCGCUAUUAGAUGAGCCUACGUUAGAUUAGCUAGUUGGUGAGGUAAUGGCUUACCAAGGCUAUGAUCUAUAGCUGGUCUGAGAGGACGAUCAGCCACACUGGAACUGAGAUACGGUCCAGACUCCUACGGGAGGCAGCAGUGGGGAAUAUUGGACAAUGGGCGAAAGCCUGAUCCAGCUAUGCCGCGUGAGUGAAGAAGGCCUUCGGGUUGUAAAACUCUUUCAAUAGGGAAGAUAAUGACGGUACCUAUAGAAGAAGUCCCGG
This 390-nucleotide ribosomal RNA is filed under the name Ehrlichia canis. RNAcentral describes it as "bacterial SSU rRNA". It matches the Rfam family "Bacterial small subunit ribosomal RNA", at positions 73 to 496 of the family's 1533-position model. Lineage: Bacteria; Pseudomonadati; Pseudomonadota; Alphaproteobacteria; Rickettsiales; Anaplasmataceae. The record is from RNAcentral.